Molecule: ribosomal RNA, 260 nt
Filed under: uncultured bacterium
Lineage: Bacteria
Description: partial 16S ribosomal RNA
Rfam family: Bacterial small subunit ribosomal RNA
Source: RNAcentral
AGUGGCGGACGGGUGAGUAACGCGUGGGUAACCUGCCUCAUACAGGGGGAUAACAGUUAGAAAUGACUGCUAAUACCGCAUAAGCGCACGGAAUCGCAUGGUUUUGUGUGAAAAACUCCGGUGGUAUGAGAUGGACCCGCGUCUGAUUAGCUUGUUGGCGGGGUAACGGCCCACCAAGGCGACGAUCAGUAGCCGGCCUGAGAGGGUGAACGGCCACAUUGGGACUGAGACACGGCCCAAACUCCUACGGAAGGCAGCAG